This 3930-nucleotide unclassified non-coding RNA is filed under the name Penaeus chinensis. RNAcentral describes it as "leucine-rich repeat flightless-interacting protein 2- like, transcript variant X3". Lineage: Eukaryota; Metazoa; Arthropoda; Malacostraca; Decapoda; Penaeidae. The record is from RNAcentral.
GAGCGAGGUUGUGGUGAGGGCUUGUGUGGCUGUGCUCGGUGUUGUGCUGUGAACUCGAUGUGCGUGCGUUAUCAGUUGAUAAGAUAACGUACUGCUGAUACUGAUUGAUAUAUAAUAUAAAAGAUAUUGCACUGCAGACUGCUGUGUAUUUAUGAAUUAAUAUUUAAGAUAAAGAAUAACUUGCUGUGACGUAGGUUGUGCUCAUGUGAUUAAUACUGACUAGAGGAGACACCACAGAAGACCUUCAUGUAAUUUCAUGGGCUGACAGAUAAACAGCUCAGAGUCCAGAACAAUGAGCAAGUUAUUUCCAAUGUUCAAGAAGAAGGGGAGGGGGAAGGAAGAGGAGAUAGAGGAUGAGACAAAGAAGAAGAAGAGAGGUAAGACAGGGAAGGGAAAAGAGGAGAUUAUCAGUUCCGCUCUUCCAUCCCUGUCCCCCUCUUUCUCCAAAUCAGGUAAGAAGAAGAAGAAGGAGAAAGAUGCAAAGCAGAAAGAAUUGUCGUUUGGGAAGGAGAAUCUCUUUGUGGCGGACAUGGAGGAACUGCAGAACAGAGAGUUCUAUAUUGGCGACGAUGGUUCUGUGAAAACGGGGCCCAGGCUGGAAGUGACAAGUUUUGACGUGUCCUUUGAAGAGGAAGUCAUUGGCAUCCCAAGAGGAAAAGGCAGUGUCACAGACGGGGACCUGGAAAUCGAUGUCCAAAUUGAUGAGGAGAGUGUGGUCAGCUUAAACAGGGAUGACAGUGCAUCUGAAGAGAGUGGAAGUAGAUUGGAUUACGAGGAUGGUGAUAUUUCCGGAAAAAGUUUUAAUGUUGUUGGGGGGUUCUCUGAGGACGUUUUUGAGGCAAGCACAGACUUGUUUAAAGAUUCUAAUGUACCUGACGAGGAAGAAGCCGGUGAGGAAAUUCUGGCAAAUAUCAGUGGAUCAUCUGAAAACACAGACCUUAUGUUUACUAGUCAUUGUGAGGAACAAAGUCCUGAUGCGAAACACGAAGAAAAAGAAGAUUCGGGCAUUAGCAUAAAGGAUCUCUCCCCUCCAGAGCUGGACAGAAGUGGUUCAUCAGAGAACUUAUCUGCUGAGAGAUAUGCUAUGAAUGGAAAUUCAGAAGCAGCAGCAACUCGUAACAUUGAAAAUGGAGAAUUGCCUGAUAUGGAGGACACAAAAGGGACUAAUGAGGAUACCGUUAGUGUUAGUGCUUGUUCUGCUGUGAAGGAAGAUCAGUCAGUGGUUGUGAUCUCAAAUAGUGAAGAAACUCAGGAAGCAAGUCCAUCUCUAAUUUUGCCUCAAAAGGAAAGUGACCCAGAUGGAAAUAACAGUGGGGAGACAGUAACACCAGAGGCAGAGGAUGAACACACCAAGGAUGACCAAAGCCUGUUGAGCAGCCAGGAUAGUGAUGAAGACUUUGAUUCAGCUCAGGAAGAUUGGGAUGAAGCAGACGGUGGGGAACAGAAAGAGAUUAAUCCUGAAGGGCAUAAAUCAGGUUUGUUGGAUGGCAGUGUAGUCGAAGAUCAGAGUAACCAUGAAAUUAAAUUAGCUGAGCAAGGUAAAUCAUCAUCAGCUGGUCUGCUCUUGAAUGAAUCGGUUAAUAGUGCCAUGAUACAUAGGAUUGAGGAGAGUGAAAAUGUUAGGGAUAUACAAAGGGAAAUUAGCAGUGGUUCUUCCCAAUUUGAAGAUGCAUCUUUUAUUCAGGAGAAUGCAGAUGCUGUUGGUAUUAAUACAGUGGUUGAGGCCUAUAAUGAUGAUGUCACAAUUGACUCUAAGGGAGUUGAAAGAAGGAAUUCCCUAUCAAAGGAAAAGCUUGUUCGAAAAUUGUCUGGCAUAUCAACAACCUCUAGUGAUGCCUUCAAUGAGGAGUUAGAUGAGCUUUUGGAUGAAGAACUGGACAGAUUGUCAGAGGAGGAGGAAGGAUUAGAGUCAGAGGACAGCCAGUCCCUGAAGACAUGCCAGUCAUCAUUAGGAGAGGUCCUUGCAAGUAGCCAAGAUGCCAGUCUUUCUGAGGAUAUUUGUAGAGCAGGUGAAGAAGACCUUAAAGUUGAGGUUGAGUUGCCAGGAGAUUCUCCAGUUGUUCCUGAGACACCUGACAUACCCGAGAAAAGGAUAGAAGAUAGUGAAAUCAAAACAGAAGUAAUUGACAUUGAUGUCAAAGAUGGAAAAGCAGAGAUCUAUGACUUAUCACCUGAAAGCAGUACUAGCUUGAAGAACAGUGCCAGUUCACCAGACAUAGCCAAGACCUCACUUCUAAACCCUGAUGAAGGAACAGAGUUAGUGAAGGACAGUGGUUAUUAUAGCCUCCCUGUAUCACCAAAGCCUGGGAUAGACCUGCGUGAGAAUAAGGAUAAUGCCAGUGUGGCCAACAAGGGUGAUGAUUCUUUUGUUGAUAGUGAGGAAGAGGGCAUGGUCACCCCUCCCAGUGAAACAACAUUGGUGAAAGAUGAUUCUUCAAAACAAAAGGAAGGUGAGGAUUGUGUGGAUGAUAAACUGCCUCAGAAUGGGUCAACCCAUGAUGAGUCAACUCUUCUAUAUCAGUCUUGUCUUGAAAGCAAUGAAGCUGAAGAUACUGAAAAGAUAGAGAAGGUAACAGAUAGCAACAAUGACAUGCAUAGUGAAACUGAAAUUUCAGAGCAUUCCAACAACUCAAGUACAAGUAAAGCCAAAAAUCUUGAGCUUCAUAUUCCAAAGGAUGUAACCACAGAGUUUAAAGAGGAAAUUAAUUCUCCAAGUUUGGGAACACCAACCAAAAAUAGACUGAAAUCUCCAAUUCCUGAAAAUACACCACUGAAGGCAGACAGUGGUUCUCUGACAAGUCCUGAUCCUGUUGGAGACAGGUUCUUGGCAGUAGCUGUUUGCCAAUCACAUGAUGAAGCCGAGGCGCGGCUAGCCCAACGACGAGCAGCACGUGCGGAAGCGAGAGAACUCAGACUACGAGAACUCGAAAAGCAGCAGCAGGACCAAGAAAAUGAAGAGGAAAAGCAAUUCGGAACCCCUGCGUUUGCAGAGGCCGAGGAAGAUGAAGAGGAGGAUGAUGAUGAUGAGGAGGAAUCCCAAGAGCCUUCACCUAGAGCGGCUGCCCCCACCCGGACGCCGCUCAGUCGCACAGGGGCACUCAGCAGCGCGGGGCAGUUCUCCAGAAGGUCAUCAGAGGACUCCACCACUGAUGACUCCGCACUCCCGGCCAACGUGAGGGAGAUGAGGGCCGAAUUGAAAGAAUUAGACGAAAAAUUCCGCAAGGCUAUGAUAACUAAUGCCCAGUUAGAUAAUGAAAAAGCGACUCUAACAUUUGAAGUAGAACUAAUGAAGGAUAAGUAUACUGAGCUUGAAGAAACACAUACACAGUUAUCGAAAGAGCAUAGGAAGAAGUGUACUGAAUAUGAACAACUUAAGAAAGUAGCAACAAAGUUACAAGAAGAAGUUAAAGCUCUUCGGGCUUUGUUACAAGAAAGAGAUGCGUUAAUACAGGAAUACGGCUUGGUGGUGGUUGGUGAGGAAGAGAAUGGAGAAGCGGAAAUUCCCGCCAAGGAUGAAGACGAUGAGUUUGCUGAUAUGGAUGACCUCACACCUAGGAAAAUUGCAGUGAAGAAGGCGCUGCUUUCUCAGGAAGCAGCCGAAUUGCUCAGCAAAGGGGCUGCUCAGGAUUCAUUAGAUAUUAGGCUAAAGAAGUUUGGCGAAGAGAAGAAGGAACUAGAAGACCAAGUUAGAAGAUUGAAGCUCGAACUUGAGGAGGAAAAGAAUAAGAACAGAAGAAGAAAAGAAAACGGUUUAGACUAUGACAGGCAAAGUGGCAAGGCUGGAUGCUCUCUCGACUCGAUAUAGGACCCAAUCGGAAGAACUAGAGAAGAGUGAAGAGGAACUAAAAUCUGAAAAACGAAAAUUACAACGGGAGCUAAGGGAUGCCCAGAAUAGGUUAGAAGAACUGGAAACCACCAAUAACCAUCUAA